Long non-coding RNA from Gorilla gorilla gorilla (western lowland gorilla), 2778 nucleotides. RefSeq lists it as uncharacterized. The record is from RefSeq and is a predicted model, not a curated record. The transcript is spliced from 3 exons. Lineage: Eukaryota; Metazoa; Chordata; Mammalia; Primates; Hominidae.
GCAAAUACAAAUGUAUAUGCACUUCUUUUUUUUUUUUAUUACACAGACAGUUCUGUAUCCUGCCUUUUAAAACUUAUAUCCUUCUUAUCUUUCUGUAUCAGGGUAUAGUGAGUUCUUUCAUUCUUACUUAUAUGUUUUUCUAUUAUAAUGGAUAUAUUAUGUCUUAUUUAAUUAUUUCUCUCUUGAUGAACAGUUGGGAAAGUUCUCAUCUUUUGCUAUUACAAACCACAAUGCGAUGAAUAACAUUGCAUUUAUGUCAUUGUGUACAGGUGUGCGUAUAUUCUAGGAUAAAUUUCCAAAAGUAGAAUUGCUGAGUUACAGGGUAAAUGCAUUUCUGAUUUUGAUAGUGCUCAAAGGUCUGGGGGCACAUAGAGAUGGUGCUUUAGCAGUGAGCUUAGGCUGACAGCGGUUAAGAGAGACAUGCCUCAGGUUGCCAGUUAAAAAAAAAAUCUGCAUAAUGUGUUGCUUAAAGAAUGUGGUAGGGUGAAAGCUUGGAAAUACUGGUGUCAUUGGAAAGACAGAAAUAAGAUAGAGAUUGUGUUGGGAAGAGAACAUGGAAUUUCAAGUAAUUUCUGCCUGGGUUUGCAUCUUGACCCUGCCACUCCUGGCUAUAUGACCUUGGGCAGGUUGCUUCACAUCUCUGAGCUCAGUAUUCUCACCUGUAAAAUAAAGACCAUGAUAACUUCCAUUAUAGGCUGCUGGAGGAAGUAAAGAAGAAAAUAUAAACAGCAGUUAGCAUGAUGUCUGGCACAUGGUGUGCAUUCAGGAUAUAACUGGGGCCUUUGGGAACCAGGCAAUAUUCCAGACAAACAUGACAUCAGUAACAUCCAUAUGUCUGUGAUGGGGUAGGAGAGAAGACUACUUUUCAGGUGGGACAUUUUGAUUGGAGAGGGUCUCUGAUUCAGAGAGUGAGGAUUCAUUAUACAGCUGGUAAAGCACAAAAGAUGGGAGGAGAGGAUUAAUGAUCAUAGUGAAUUCAGGUGGCUGUGGCACAGCCAACCUACAUUGAUCCCCACUGUCGCUGGAGUGGCUGGGGCACACUGCUGAAAAGACUUACUCCUCUUGAACAUACUCCUUUGAGUCGUUUUUGUAUAUGUAAUUUUGCAUAUUUUUUUCUUUUUUUAUUAUUAUACUUAAGUUUUAGGGUACACGUACACAACAUGCAGGUUAGUUACGUAUGUAUACAUGUGCCAUGUUGGUGUGCUGCACCCAUUAACUCGUCAUUUAGCAUUAGGUAUACUUUUAAUCGUAGUGCCAUACAAUUGUAUUGCAUUUUCCAUUUAUAGCAUAUUAUAAUUAUUUUGACUUUUAUUAUGAAAUUUUCAAACAGAAAAGUAGAUAGUAUAAUAAAAUAAAAUAAAAAGUAUAUAUAUAACAAGUAUGUCGGCUGGGUGUGGUGGCUCAUGCCUUUAAUCCCAGCACUUUGGGAGGCUGAGGCAGGCAGAUCACUUGAGGUCAGGAGUUCGAGACCAGCCUGGCCAACAUGGUGAAACGCUAUCUCUACUAAAAAUAAAAAAAAUUAGCUGGGUUUGGUGGUGGGUGCCUGUAAUCCCAUCUACUCAAGAGGCUGAGGCAGGGGAAUCACUUGAACCUGGGAGGUGGAGGUUGCAGUGAGCCAAGAUCAUGCCACUGCACUCCAGCCUGGGCAACAGAGCAAGACUCCAUCUAAAACAAAAUUAUAUAUAUAACAAGUAUGUAAACAAAAUACAUAAGUAAAAGGUAGAAUAAAAAAAGAUAGCAUAAUACACACCCAUUUAUUUAUCGCUUAGAAUUAACACUAAUAUUUUCUUUGUGCAUUUUUUCUUAAGUGGUUCAAAAGGAAGUACAGACAUCAUGAUAUUAAACCCUAAAUCAGUGGCUCUCAACUGAGGGUGAUUUUGACCCAUGUCCUCCGCAAGAGGACUUUUGGCACUGUCUGGAGACAAUGUUGGUUGUCACAAAAGGAAGCAUGCCUGCAUCCCUGGUAGAGAUCAGGGAUGUUACUAAACAUGCUACAAUGCACAGGACUGCCCCCUCCAAAACAAAGAAUUACCUGGUUCUAAAUGCCAGUAGUGCUAAGGUUGAAAAUCUUUGGUCUAAAUGAUUAAGAAUGCGUUUCUUAAAAUGCAAAAUUUCACAUAACCGCAUAGCACCAUCACUUCUAACAAAGUGAAAAAUAACUCUUUAAAAUUGUCUAAUAACCGGUCCAUGUUUCUCCACCAUUCCACUAAAAUGUUUUUUACAGCUGGUUUUAGCAAACACUUUCCAUUUUAUUAGCACUGUUAAUAGAAUCUCAUUCUAAAUGACUACAGAAUAGUCUGUUCAAUGGAUUCCCUGAAAUUUAUUCAAAGGAUCUAUUUUUAGAUAUUAGUUUUGCUUCCAGGUUUUAGACAAAUUAUAUUUUUGUAAAUAAUGACAGUUUACUUCUUUUCUUACUUUGUGCCUUUUCUUUCUUUUAUUUGCCUUAUGUUCUGGCUAAAAACUUCAGUGAAUACUGAACACAGCGUAUGAGAGUGGGCAUCCUUUUGUUGUUCCAGAUUUUAGGAGUAAAAGAUUUAAUAUUUUAUUAAUUAUGAUAUUAACUGUAGGUUUUUAAAGAUGAACCUUAUCAUAUUGGAGAUGUUCCCAUCUAUUCCUAGUUUCACUGAGCGUUUUUAUCAUAAAGAACUAAUGAUUUCUGUCAAAUUUUUUUUCUGUGUAUUUUGAAAUGAUCAAAUGGUUUUCCCUCUUACUCUGUUAUAGUAUGAUGAAUUAUAUUGACUGAAUUUCAUUAAACCAACCUUGCUUUCUUGGAAUAAA